This 253-nucleotide ribosomal RNA is filed under the name uncultured bacterium. RNAcentral describes it as "partial 16S ribosomal RNA". It matches the Rfam family "Bacterial small subunit ribosomal RNA", at positions 524 to 776 of the family's 1533-position model. The record is from RNAcentral.
GACGUAGGGCGCGAGCGUUGUCCGGAUUUACUGGGCGUAAAGAGCGCGCAGGCGGUCGUUCAAGUCGCGUGUGAAAGCCCCCGGCUCAACUGGGGAGGGUCACGCGAUACUGAUCGACUCGAAGGCAGGAGAGGGUAGUGGAAUUCCCGGUGUAGUGGUGAAAUGCGUAGAUAUCGGGAGGAACACCAGUGGCGAAGGCGACUACCCGGCCUGUUCUUGACGCUGAGGCGCGAAAGCUAGGGGAGCAAACGGG